UUCUUCCGGUUCCGGGGGAAGUAUGGUUGCAAAGCUGAAACUUAAAGGAAUUGACGGAAGGGCACCACCAGGAGUGGAGCCUGCGGCUUAAUUUGACUCAACACGGGGAAACUCACCCGGCCCGGACACCGUGAGGAUUGACAGAUUGAAAGCUCUUUCUUGAUUCGGUGGUUGGUGGUGCAUGGCCGUUCUUAGUUCGUGGAGCGAUUUGUCUGGUUUAUUCCGAUAACGAGCGAGACUCUAGCUUACUAAAUAGUCUGGUCUUUAUUACUGAGGCCUGACUUCUUAGAGGGAUUUUCGGUGUUCAGCCGCACGAGAUUGAGCAAUAACAGGUCUGUGAUGCCCUUAGAUGUCCGGGGCUGCACGCGCGCUACACUGGCGAAAUCAGCGUGCUUUUCCUAUCUCGAAAGAGAUUGGUAAACCGAUGAAAAUUUGCCGUGAUUGGGAUCGGAAAUUGCAAUUAUUUUCCGUGAACGAGGAAUUCCAAGUUAAGUGCGAGUCAUCAACUCGCGUUG
RNAcentral lists this ribosomal RNA (515 nucleotides) under Aphelenchus avenae. RNAcentral describes it as "SSU rRNA". It matches the Rfam family "Eukaryotic small subunit ribosomal RNA", at positions 1103 to 1643 of the family's 1831-position model. Lineage: Eukaryota; Metazoa; Nematoda; Chromadorea; Rhabditida; Aphelenchidae. The record is from RNAcentral.